Molecule: ribosomal RNA, 253 nt
Filed under: uncultured bacterium
Lineage: Bacteria
Description: partial 16S ribosomal RNA
Rfam family: Bacterial small subunit ribosomal RNA
Source: RNAcentral
UACAGAGGUCUCAAGCGUUGUUCCGAUUCAUUGGGCGUAAAGGGUGCGUAGGUGGCGCGCUAAGUCAGGUGUGAAAUUUCGGAGCUUAACUCCGAAACUGCAUUUGAUACUGGCGUGCUUGAGGACUGGAGAGGAGACUGGAAUUCACGGUGUAGCAGUGAAAUGUGUAGAGAUCGUGAGGAAGACCAGUGGCGAAGGCGGGUCUCUGGACAGUUCCUGACACUGAGGCACGAAGGCCAGGGGAGCAAACGGG